UUACUAGACCAGACAAUCGAUUGUCAACACAGACAAUCGAUUGUUUGGUUUUUUCUGAAAAAGUGUUGUCACUGGAUGUGACAAGGAAAAAUUUUUCCAAGUUACUGGACCAGAUAAUCGAUUGUCAAAACAGACAAUCGAUUGUAAAAUUUUUCUAAGUUACUGGACCAGACAAUCGAUUGUCAAAACAGACAAUCGAUUGUUUGGUNN
Molecule: long non-coding RNA, 210 nt
Filed under: Nicotiana benthamiana
Lineage: Eukaryota; Viridiplantae; Streptophyta; Magnoliopsida; Solanales; Solanaceae
Description: long non-coding RNA (NBEN_LNC040586)
Source: RNAcentral